UGUUAGUCAACACAAGAGUAAAAACAAAUAUUUCAAAAAAUAUUAGGAGAUAACAACACAUAAAACAAUAAUAUUUGGAAUCAUCAAAACUAUAUAAGUUGCAAGAAUGUAAAACAUACAAAUAACAACUUUCCUAACAGAGUGGGGGGGAGUGGUUAACCGUGGCUUGCGACUGGUGCUUCUACCCCGAGGUCUGGAAGUUGUGUUAUAGGGAAGAAUGGCGUCUUUAGGACAUAGAGAAGGGGGGUGCAUGAUGGAGCCGCACUGAGAAUAGUGUUCCAAUUUCCAAUCAAAUUGGAUUAUAGGCGGGGAAGUUUUACAUCAACAUAGUAGAAAAUUUCAUCAGGGAGAGUGGAGGUGCUAGUGAUUUGCACACAAACUCUAGCAAAGGUUAAACGGUUUUGGCGGUAGUGAGAGCAUCGACAGCUAGAGGGAUUCCAACACAACUAGCAAGUUUAGAUAUACCAUCCAAUGUUCAGCAAAAGAGGGGACAUUUCAUAAUUUUGAUCCAAAGAAGAAUCGAUGGGAACUCUUCGCACUUGGGGACAAAAUUCAAACUCCACUUUUGAAGGAUGAAGGGGUUUUUGAAGAAAAACUAGGGGCCUCCUAUCUAUGCAAGUUCAUAAUCUUCAAUCACUGUAAAUUUCAGGAGGAAGAAACCAUCAUCCAUUGUUAGAAGAGAGAAAGCUCCUUUGAGUUUCCAUGUCUUUUUGAUAACAGAUAGCAAAGCCUCGUAGAAUGACCUUUUGCCCACUAAAUAUCCAACAAGAGAGAGAUACCAUUCAGGGGCUCCAGCAAGGAAUUCAUCACUGGUAAAUUGGGCUAUGAGAUUUUGUGUGGGGACAAAAGCUAGGGAAUUAGAGAACUCCAUUUGAAACUUGAGGGGUUAAGGGGGGGAAGGAGUAAGCCAAAACCUAGGGCGACAAAGAAACCCUACCAGAGCUUGCUGAAAAUCACUUGAUAAAGCUAAUGAUUUCAAACCUCUGAUCCAAAAAAUCACUUCUUCUCUUGUUGGUUGGAAGGCGAAAAUUCUAUCCUUUGUUGGUUGGAUUUAAUUUCUCAAAUUCACCACAAGCAACACGUUGACUUAUUGGAAUAGAGAUUCUAUCUUGCCUAAAGGAUGUUGCAAACUCAUUAACCUUUUGUGCUCUAGAUUCCUGUAUUUUGGGGAAACUAAUCUCAGGAAAAUCCACACCAUCUCCUGGAAAAACACUUGCAUUCCCAAACAAAAUGGUGGACUGGGUAUCCCAUCCAUUGACUGCCUUCAGCACAACUUUGCCUGCUCGAUGAUCAGGAGAUUUUUAAAUAAAAGGAGCCUUCUUUUUGACUGGUGGAGAGCAAAAUAUUAUUCUUUAUGGAACUUGUUGCCUAUUAAUAGCUUUGCUUAUUGGAGCUACCUUUGCAACAAGAUUGUUUCUAUUAAACAUUGCCUUACUUUGUUUGUCCACUAUAGUAACAAUUUAUCCUUCUUAUGGGACCCUUGGUGGAAUGGAAAAUCUGUGGUAGAUUUAUUGAAUGAAAGACUGAAGCUACGGAACUUUACCUAUAUGUCUAAUUGGAAAGUUUCUAUGGUUAUCAAUGAUAUCAAUUGGACAUUACCUAAUAGUUUUGAUGUUUCUACUUCUUUUGUCAUUUGUACCAUACAUAUUAACAAUUCCUUGGAAAACCACCUUUGGUUGGAUGCCUAAAACCCCAAAUUUCACACUUUCCAGGAAUUUUUAUACACCUCUCUUGACAAAGUUUCUUGGCACAAGCUUGUCUAGCAUAAAAAAGCUGCUUUAAGAUUCUCGAGCUUUGCUUGGAUGGCUUUCAAAGGGGGGUCUCAAAACUGCAGAAUUUUUAGCUACUCGUGGGAUUGCAAGUGGAACUAAAUGUCGCUUUUAUCUAGAGGAAUCUGAAACUACAUCCCACAUUUUCUUUGAAUGUAACUUUACCUUUAACAUUAUCAAGAAUCUCCUUCCCUGGCUGGGAAAUAUCCUUAUGAGACCCAACCUGCAUCAAGCUCUUGAUAGUGUUAUGGACCGAGGGCUCUCUGGUAUUCAAAUAUGUUACUACAUUCUUGCUAGCUGUGCUACCGUGUACUUUAUAUGGAGGGCUAGAAACGAUAUAUUAUUUGGCGAUAUUUUUGAUUGCCAAGCCACGAUUACUACUAAGAUUAAACAAGUUGUUAUGACGAAAACUGCAAAGUUGAAGCACACCGAGGAUGUUAACUAAUUGCUUCACCAUUUUCUCGGUUGCUAUUUGCCAAAUGCUGCCUAUAUUUUAUUUUGAAAGGACGAUGAUGAUUGCUGCCUAUGCAGCAGCCCCUUGGACGGUCACUUUGGCAACCAGGAUGGUCACUUUGGCAACCAGGGGCAAGGCUUUGGUGUAGUCCCUUCUAGUUCUUGACCCUACAAGAGUUUUUUCACGUUGAAGCCGCCUGAGUCCUUCAAGUUUUGAUCUUCAUUUUAGUUUCUUUUUGGCUUUGUAAUUUUUGAGUCGUUGGCUACUCUUUUUGUUGUUGAGUGCCAGGACUAUAGUUUUAUUUUUACUCACUUGUAACUUUUCAUUUAUCAAUGAUACAUGAUUUGAUCUUAAAUUUCCAAAAAAAAAGAAAAAAUAUAAUAAUAAAAAAUAAAAAAUUAAAAGUCUACCCUAACUUUUCGCGCCGAAACCCCAAGUCAAAUCAAAAGGUGGGUCCCUCCCACCUUUUUCGCUCUUCCUUUUCUCUUUUUAUGCCCUUCCAUUCAAAUAAAAUGAGCACUUACCAGUUACCACAAUAGCCUUCACCGUCGCUCAGAUUGAGAUGGAUGCCACAAUCGAUCAUUGCACAAAGUCAGUUGGAGGGUCAUUACUUUGAUAUGCACUUCGAUCUGCAACCAAAGGGAAGGAUGUGAAGACAUCGAAUGAGGAGACGCAUAAAAGUUUGGCUACUAGAAGGUUGAGGACUGCACCAAAUUUGGCCAAGAGCAUGAGCGAAGUCUAUCUUUUUGGGAAAGAAAAGUAUGCGAAGCCUCCAAAGAGGAUCUCAAACCUUAUAAAGUCUACUAAUAGCAGCCCUCAUUCCAUCUCUGUUGGAAUCCUCACACCACUAUCUGAAAAUUAAAAGAAACAGAUUGAACAAUCAGUUGAAUUUUGACACACCUAUGUCUGAUGCAUCGAAAUAUAGCUACAGGAAAAGGUUCAAUGUGUUAUCUUUAG
Dendrobium catenatum is the source of this 3180-nucleotide long non-coding RNA. RefSeq lists it as uncharacterized. NCBI's taxonomy places the organism in Eukaryota, Viridiplantae, Streptophyta, Magnoliopsida, Asparagales, Orchidaceae. The transcript has 3 exons. The record is from RefSeq and is a predicted model, not a curated record.